RNAcentral lists this ribosomal RNA (472 nucleotides) under uncultured bacterium. RNAcentral describes it as "partial 16S ribosomal RNA". It matches the Rfam family "Bacterial small subunit ribosomal RNA", at positions 28 to 507 of the family's 1533-position model. The record is from RNAcentral.
GACGAACGCUGGCGACGUGCUUAACACAUGCAAGUCGAACGCUGAAGCUUGGUGCUUGCACUGGGUGGAUGAGUGGCGAACGGGUGAGUAAUACGUGAGUAACCUGCCCUUGACUCUGGGAUAAGCCUGGGAAACUGGGUCUAAUACUGGAUACGACAUGUCACCGCAUGGUGGUGUGUGGAAAGGGUUUUACUGGUUUUGGAUGGGCUCACGGCCUAUCAGCUUGUUGGUGGGGUAAUGGCUCACCAAGGCGACGACGGGUAGCCGGCCUGAGAGGGUGACCGGCCACACUGGGACUGAGACACGGCCCAGACUCCUACGGGAGGCAGCAGUGGGGAAUAUUGCACAAUGGGCGGAAGCCUGAUGCAGCGACGCCGCGUGAGGGAUGACGGCCUUCGGGUUGUAAACCUCUUUCAGCACGGAAGAAGCGAAAGUGACGGUACGUGCAGAAGAAGCGCCGGCUAACUACGUG